ACUCUGAGAGAGAGUAAACAGUGCGUGAAGCCGUUCAGAGGUAAACAGAUGGAGUUGAACUGUGGUUCCCGAGGGUUCAGCUGGUGAUUUUGAUUGGGCUUGGCCAAAGAUGUUGAACUCUGGGGUCUGUUGAGCUGCAGGUCUUUGCCUUCGGGUGAGGAUGCGCGGUAUGCUCGUUGAGUGUUGCGCGCCCCAGGUGUUCCGGGCUGAGUCGCCAGUGCAUUCCCUCGGGACGGUCACCACGACCGACACUGCUGUCAGUCUAUUGUGGUUAAACCGAUUGUGUAUUGUCUUCGGGCUUUGCGUAGUCGGGAUGGCAGGUAGCUCGUUGGUUUGCUUGCAGGCUUUCGGGUGUAAUCAGCUGACUAUGAUUUGGGCUGUGCAGUGUGUCGGGGACGGCGGCUUGAGGUGCGUGCGUGCGUGCCUGUUCUGCUGGCGUGUCCAUGUCAGGUUGCUCAGUUGCUCACAUAGUGGGCCAAGCGGCGACUGGGACGCGUUUGGUGGGCGGUUGCGUGCGUUGUACUAUUAUUGGGCCGACAGUCUGUGGUGUUGCGGUAGACUAUCCACCUGACCCGUCUUGAAACACGGAC
This 590-nucleotide ribosomal RNA is filed under the name Opecoelidae sp. 1 A JB-2023. RNAcentral's name for it is "partial large subunit ribosomal RNA". The record is from RNAcentral. Lineage: Eukaryota; Metazoa; Platyhelminthes; Trematoda; Plagiorchiida; Opecoelidae.